AACGAACGCUGGCGGCAGGCCUAACACAUGCAAGUCGAACGCCCUAGCAAUAGGGAGUGGCAGACGGGUGAGUAACACGUGGGAACCUUCCCUAUAGUACGGAAUAGCUCAGGGAAACUUGAAGUAAUACCGUAUACGCCCGAGAGGGAAAGAUUUAUCGCUAUAGGAUGGGCCCGCGUCGGAUUAGCUAGUUGGUGAGGUAAUGGCUCACCAAGGCGACGAUCCGUGGCUGGUUUGAGAGAACGACCAGCCACACUGGGACUGAGACACGGCCCAGACUCCUACGGGAGGCAGCAGUGGGGAAUAUUGGACAAUGGGCGCAAGCCUGAUCCAGCCAUGCCGCGUGAGUGAUGAAGGCCUUAGGGUUGUAAAGCUCUUUAGCAGGGAAGAUAAUGACUGUACCUGCAGAAUAAGCUCCGGCUAACUUCGUGCCAGCAGCCGCGGUAAU
This 448-nucleotide ribosomal RNA is filed under the name uncultured bacterium. RNAcentral's name for it is "bacterial SSU rRNA". It matches the Rfam family "Bacterial small subunit ribosomal RNA", at positions 29 to 524 of the family's 1533-position model. The record is from RNAcentral.